This 385-nucleotide ribosomal RNA is filed under the name marine copepod environmental sample. Its description in RNAcentral is "partial small subunit ribosomal RNA". It matches the Rfam family "Eukaryotic small subunit ribosomal RNA", at positions 587 to 972 of the family's 1831-position model. The record is from RNAcentral. Lineage: Eukaryota; Metazoa; Arthropoda; Copepoda.
AGCUCCAAUAGCGUAUAUUUAAUUUGUUGUGGUUAAAAAGCUCGUAGUUGGAUUUCGGCGGGGAUUGGUCGGGUUGAAUUGCUUCAAUUCUGACUUUUUUACCCCUGUGUUUUUCCAGAAUUUUACCGGGGGCCUUAACCUAUUGUCCGUUUGAACUGGCUGGUUUACUUUGAAAAAAUUAGAGUGCUCAAAGCAAGCUUGACUGCUUGAAUAUUCGUGCAUGGAAUAAUAGAAUAGGAAGUUGUUUCUAUUUUGUUGGUUCUCGGAAAUCGACUUAAUGAUUAAUAGGGAUAGUCGGGGGCAUUUGUAUUCAAACGACAGAGGUGAAAUUCUUGGACCGUUUGAAGACAAACUACUGCGAAAGCAUUUGCCAAGAAUGUUUUCA